RNAcentral lists this ribosomal RNA (423 nucleotides) under Pseudomonas aeruginosa. Its description in RNAcentral is "partial 23S ribosomal RNA". It matches the Rfam family "Bacterial large subunit ribosomal RNA", at positions 2099 to 2521 of the family's 2925-position model. The record is from RNAcentral. Lineage: Bacteria; Pseudomonadati; Pseudomonadota; Gammaproteobacteria; Pseudomonadales; Pseudomonadaceae.
CUUUACUAUAGCUUGACACUGAACAUUGAGCCUUGAUGUGUAGGAUAGGUGGGAGGCUUUGAAGCGUGGACGCCAGUCUGCGUGGAGCCAACCUUGAAAUACCACCCUUUAAUGUUUGAUGUUCUAACGUUGGCCCCUGACCGGGGUUGCGGACAGUGUCUGGUGGGUAGUUUGACUGGGGCGGUCUCCUCCCAAAGCGUAACGGAGGAGCACGAAGGUUAGCUAAUCCUGGUCGGACAUCAGGAGGUUAGUGCAAUGGCAUAAGCUAGCUUGACUGCGAGCGUGACGGCGCGAGCAGGUGCGAAAGCAGGUCAUAGUGAUCCGGUGGUUCUGAAUGGAAGGGCCAUCGCUCAACGGAUAAAAGGUACUCCGGGUAUAACAGGCUGAUACCGCCCAAGAGUUCAUAUCGACGGCGGUGUUUGG